Small nucleolar RNA from Tupaia belangeri (northern tree shrew), 104 nucleotides. The record is from Ensembl. NCBI's taxonomy places the organism in Eukaryota, Metazoa, Chordata, Mammalia, Scandentia, Tupaiidae.
AUUCUUCUGUGGCUCAUAAGUGUUAUGAUUGGGUAUUCAUGAGGUUAUGUGAGAUCUAUCUCCCUCAAACCUCAUUACAAUGUCUAGACACUAUUCAUAUGAUA